GUGCGACUCACCAGCGGCUCGGAGCUGGAGUCCCGCGUCCCCGCGGCGGUAAGUCGUGCCUCCCGCCGCCGGGACUCUGCCCCUCGUCUCGGGCCGCGCAUGCGGCUGCGGGUUUUGCCCGUCUCCCUCUGUCACUGUCACUGUAGUCUGCUUUUCUCGGACGGAGCAAGGUUGUCUGGGCCAGCGUCCCGGUCCCCCGACUCUGACCUCCCCGGCGUUGGUCCCCUGCAGGGUCACUGGGAGCUCUCUGGUGGGUUCAGCCUGAGUGUCCCCUGUCCCCUGACUCUAACCCCCAGUGGUGGUCCCCUGCAGGCUCACUGGAGGGCCUCUGGUGGGUUGAGCCCGGCCUGGGUAUCCUCUCCGCUGGCUUUCCUUGUGGCUGGUCUCAGUUUCCUGGGUGUGUUUGAAAGCCGGAAUUACUUCCAGACUUUCUUGUGAUUUUCUUUGGGGUCAGAUCUGUGUUCUUUACCUGUUGUCUCUCCGAAUGGGGCUGUGGCCCUGAGAAUUAACUCUGUGUUGUCUUUGUGUAAGUGUUAACUUCUUAAGUCAGUCUUGGCUUGACCCUGACCAUCUUGUCUUCUGUUUGUCUUGUGAAUCAUCUGGUACCUUUUUAUCUUAUUAAGAGGGAAGGAGAAUUCCUGGUGAGUCAGACUUCGUUCCAGUGUCAGGUUGAAGAAAUCCAGACCUUGGUCGGGAUUCGGGGGGCCUCAGGGUUAAUCUUUUUGCGUACCGGGGAGCCGCCUGGUUUAAGAAAUCAAGCUUCUCUGGUCGUACUGGCCUGCUUCUACCGAUGUCCCAACCGGGACAAGGAGAGGUCCAUUCACACAGAAUCACACAGACUUCACCCAGAAUCACCCAGGCUUCACACAGAAUCAUACAGAAUCACGCAGUGUGACUCUAUCUGCUAGUCAGCUUUCACCUUUUUUCUUUUUUUAUAAGUCACCAGGCCCAUCCAACUUCCCAACAUGUGCAACACCUUAAAUGGGACAAAGGACUCCCUUCUAGGAUUUUUUUUAAAUAAUUGGGAUCAGGGGCGCCUGGGUGGCUUAGUCGGUUGGGCAUCCGACUUGGGCUCAGGUCAUGAUCUCACAGUUUGUGAGCUCGAGCCCCACAUCUGGCUGUGUGCUGACAGCUCGGAGCCUGGAGCCUGCUUCGGAUUCUGUGUCUCCCUCUCUCUCUGCCCCUCCUCCGCUUGCACUCUUUCUCUCUCUCAAAAAUAAGUAAACAUUAAAAAUAAAUAAAUAAAUAAUUGGGAUCAGUUUAAAUUGGAUGGUUUGAAGAAAAGGAAAACAAAAAAAUUUUUUUUUUUUUUUUUGCAUGGCACUGUUUGGCCCCAAUAUCUUAGGCGAACAAGAACCAGGAACAGUGGCUCCAAAAUGGACCAUUAAAUUUGUAUGCUCGAAUUUAAAUUUGAAUACUAUCUUGCAGUUGGAUUUGUUUUGCAAAAGAUCUCAGAAGUAGGGAGAGACACCAAGACCCCAAAUUAAGGAAUUCUUGCAGAGUCUCUGUGGCCUCAGAUCGUUACCACCGGCACCCCUCUCACUGCUGGGUUGAAACCAGACAUUUUAUUUAUUUACUCAUCUAUUUAAAUUUAUAUUUAUUUAUUUGAGAGAGAGAGCGAGCAGGGGAGGGGCAGAGUGUGAGGAAGACAGAAUCCUAAGCAGGCUCUGCGAAGUCAGCAGAGAGCCCAGUGUGGGCCUCGAACUCACGAACCAUGAGAUCAUGUCCUGAGUCGAAGUCAAGAGUCGGACGCUUAACCCGCUGAGCCACUCAGGCACCCCAAAACCAGACAUUUUAUUUAUUUAUUUAUUUAUUUUUUUUAUAAAAUUUUUUUUUUAACGUUUAUUUUUGAGACAGAGAGAGACAGAGCAUGAACGGGGGAGGGGCAGAGAGAGAGCGAGACACAGAAUCGGAAGCAGGCUCCAGGCUCCGAGCCAUCAGCCCAGAGCCCGAUGUGGGGCUCGAACUCACGGACCGCGAGAUCGUGACCUGAGCCGAAGUCGGACGCUCAACCGACUGAGCCACCCAGGCGCCCCAAAACCAGACAUUUUAGACAAUCCCCUGUUCUAGUCAAGUGGGACCUAGUACUCCUUUGCAGCAGUCCCAUCCCAAACCCCCUCUACCCCUGCGACUUUGACCCCAACAACUUCCCCUCCUUCCUCCAAGGUCUCCCCACCUCCUUAUUCAUAAGGAGCUUCCCUGCCCCUGCAUCCUCCUCCCUCCUCUGGAGUAAGUCCCACUAGCACCCACAGUGCCCACCCACCCACCACAGGCCCCAACUGGAUCUGUUUCCCCUUAGGGAAAGGACAUACCCGAGGAAGGGAUUACCAGAGUUUCGUGUCUUGCUUACAGACCUGGUUCUGUGUAAAGAAAAGUUGGGUCAUUUUUCCAAAACAAACAAACAAACAAACACCUGACGAGAUGUCAUCCCAGGCCUUACUGUUGCACCCUAGAUGAGGAAGACAGAUCCUUAGGAAGGCUGGGGAUUAUGCUGACAGCCUGGGGUCUUAGGGUCUGCCAAUCCAGGGGACGGAGUGCUUGGGGCCGGAUGAAAUGCUGUCCCUGCUUGGGACCCACAGUAGGAUCAGGAGGGCACAACCCCCAGGGGGCAGAGGCACUUUAUUACCUGCCUGUCUGAAGGGAUGACGAAGCGCCUAGCCAAACCAGCUAAUUAUGACAAAGGGAGGGAAAUACCUCGGCAAAAAGGAUGAGAAUUCAGCCGUCUUUCUAAACCACUGAUGGACGCCUUCCGCAGACGCCCAAAUGGAGACCCAGAGUCGCCGCGGGGAGGUCUUUACUGACUGUGUGCUUUAUCGUCCAGCCUGCCUCUGAUCUUAGGGGGAAGCUACUGACGUCAGAGGCAGGUUCUCAGUCCCUGCUGUCACCUUUGGUGGAGGAGGCCUUCAAGGUUUUUAAUAACUGAGACAGCGCAGAGGAGGCCAGUAAAGACAAGGGUAGCAAAACAGGCACAGGUUCUGGCUGCCCUGCUCAGGGUGACCCCAGGAGGCCCAGAGGCCGUAGCCAGAACCAUCGGAACAAGUGUGCGGAAUGCAGGCGGGAAGGCGGGGGGACCUGAGCCUGCCCGCCCCAGAGAGCGAAGGGCACACACGGACUCCCACCCCCGGCCAGUCUCUCGGAAGAGGGGCCGUGCGACCACAAAGAGGCCCCAGGAGCUGCCCGCCCCAGCACCCACCUGACCCCUUACCAUUGUACUAGCGGAGCCUCGGUCACCCUUGACGUGGCAGGUAGGAAAACUAAAUUCCGUGUAGAUACUGGAGCCGCCUGCUCUGUCCUGACCCAACCUGUGGGCCCUUCCCCAAGCGUGACAUGUGCUAACUGGGAGAGAUGCGGCCAAAGGUGAGAGCGUUCACUUUCCCCCUCGCCUGUGAAGCCAGAUCAACUGUUCUACGCAUUCCUUUCUGUAGGGCCCGGAAUGCUCUGGGGAGAGAUCUACGAAACCAUUCUGGAGCCGCUCUUUACCUUGAAAAGGGUGAUAUUAAAAUGGAGAUAGACCAGAAACUGGGAUUUCAGCCGUGGGCACUACUGGAUGGUCCCAGGCUUGAGCCGCAGAUACUCCUGAGGACAAACAACCAAGUAGACUCACGUCCCAGGGGAGGCAAAAAAAAAACAAAACAAAAAAAAAGUCUCCCCCGUUCAGGGAAAGGUAAAACCUAGUGCAGGGUGUCUAGAAAAAAAUAGUUUCCCGUAAAAAGUAAAUCUUUAGGAGGAAUCCAGCUGAUAAUUUCAAAAUUUCUCAAGUAUGGAUGGAUCAAGCCUUGUCAAUCCCCAUGUAAUACCCCAGUCCUCCCAGUGAGGAAGCCCAGCGGAGAAUAUUGCUUUGUACAGGAUUUGAGGGCCAUAAAUAAAGCUGUUCUCAUACACCCGGUAGUACCCAACCCGUAUACUCCGCUUACCCAGGGUCCAGGCGAUGCUAAAUUUUUUACCAUCCUGGACCUGAAGGGUGCCUUUUUCUGCACAUCCCUUUAUGAGGAGAGUCACUAUUUACUCGCCUUCGAAUGGAAAACCCCUGAUACUCAAGACACUACCCAGCACACCUGGGUGGUGCUUCCCUGGGGCCUUAGAGACACCCCCCACCAAUCUAUUUGGAAAUAUAGUGGCAAAAGAGUUACAAGAAUUAAAAUGGAGAGAUGGGAUCCGCUUACAACAUGGUGAUUUGUUAACAGCCAGUUUGACUAAGCAGUCCUCGGACUGUAAUACCGCAAAAACCUUAUGUUUUCUAGCUAACAGAGGAUAUAGGGUCUCCCCCAUCAAAGGCUCACAUAUCACAACAACACGGCCAAUAUCUGGGCUUCAUCCUAUCUCCAGGCACCCACGUCCUGGCCACGGAUCCCAAGAGGACCAGCAGCGCCUGCCCACACUGCCAACUAGAAAGCAACUCCGUGGCUUUCUUGACACGAGAGAGUUCUCUUGUAUCUGGUUCCCCAGUUACGGCCCUGAUGCAAAGCCCCUAUAUGAGGCCUUGAAGGGGGAAGAAAGGGAACCCCUACAAGAGACUGUGUUGGGGGGCUUUUAAAGCCUUGAAAAUGGAGCUGGAUGGAGCCCCUGCACCGGAGUUCCCCUAUCUGGAUAAACAUUUUACCUCAUCUACCCAUGAGAGGCAGGCUUUGGGGGUCCUAACUCAAAAGCUGGACCCUGAUCAGAGACUACUUUUCAAAAUGACUAGACCCAGUUGCACAGGGACGGCCCAGCAGUGAUGGCCACAUCUCUCUUAGCGAGGCCAGUAAGCUUACCCCGGGUCAGCCUAACUCCCUGUCAGGUUCAGACCAUGUUAGAAACUAGAGGGCACCACUGGCUGACUGGAGGAAGGCUAACUAAGUAUCAGGCCCUCUUGCCAGAUUCCCCAGAUAUUUUGAAGGUCCACUGGACUGCACCCUGCUUCACCCUGGAGGUUAAGGGUCUCCAGCAUCAGUAUGGAGACAGUAGAGCAGACUUCUAGCAGACCUGACCUUCAAGACAGACCCCUUGACAAUCUGGAUAUGGUGUCAUUUAUGGACAGGACACUUGUGGAGAGAGGCAUCUGGAAGGCAGGGUACGUGAUCGUGAACCUAAGUAGGGUCAUUGAGGCCAGAGCUCACCUCAACACUUCAUCCACCCACAAGGUUGAACUGAUAGCCCUAAUUAGGACCUUGCAGUUGGGGGAAGGAAAAAGAUGAAAUCUCGACACUGAUUCAAAAUAUGGGUUCCAUGUACUACAUGCCCUCGCGGUCGUCCAGAAAGACAGGAAAAUGUUAACAGCGAGAAUUCACCAAUAAAACGUAAGGACCCAAUCUUCACUCUUGUAGAGGCAGUACAGCUUCUCGUUUAGGUGGCUGUAGUCCAUUGUAAAAGUUGUCAGAAAGAUGGGACCUCUGUAAGCAAAGAAAAUAAUAGUAAGGCUGACCGAUCAGCUGUUCACAGUCCAUGGAGCACAAAAACCAGAUCAAAUUACCACCUUGAUGGUUGGCUCCUCUGAGUUCCCCGGCCACCCUCAGUGCUCCCUGCUGGCAUGGGAGGACACAGAGAGACAGGGAUAUACAGAAUAAAGUGCUGGUAGCUUAUGAGAGAGGACAAAAUUCUCAUUCGGAAGCCCGACAAGAAAAGCUCAAACAUUGACAUGAUGCAUGCCACCCAUUAUGGCAGAGAUGUCCAAUGGGACUUGGUGCAAAAGGUCUUUCUAGGUCAGGGACUUAGACAAUAAAAGCAAGUUACCCUUGCCUGUGACUUCUGCACCCAAAAUAAACCACAGAGCCGUCCAGUCUAUCCCCGCUUCUCAUGCCGGUCCAAGGCCAGGGGGCAUUUCCUGGGGAAGAUUGGCAAGUGGAUUCUACCCAGAUGCCAUCACAAGCAGGCUACAGACAUUACCUCGUGUUUGUUGAUGUUUCUACCGAAUGGGUAUAAGCCUUCCCACCCGGGUCUGGGAAGGCGACUGAGGUCUGUAAAUCCCUCCUCAAAGGGAAUUCCCGAGUCUCUCCAAAGUGGUAACGGGCCUUCUUUGAUGGCUAAUGUCACCCAGAGCCUUUCAGCAGCCCUGACAUGCUCCCUGGCACCCCCAUUCCUCAGGGAAGGUAGAAAAGAUGAAUCCGACCCUUAAAAAGAUGCGAGCAAAACUCUGUCAAGAAACUGAAGAGCCUUGGGUCACAUUGCUUCCUCUCACACCACUCAGGAUUCCCACCGCCCCUAAGACUCAGCGCAUUUGAAAUGACAGGAGCGACCCUUCUUCCAGUGAAUGACAUGGGAGACCCUUCUUCCAGCCCGUAUUCCACCACGCGGGAAGAUAAGCCAGAACUUUCGGCCUUUGAUUUCUUUGUUUGGGCUGAGUGCUAAGAGCCAGUUGGGCUUCUGCUAAUCAUAGGCUGCCGGCACCCCUAGGGGUGAUUUAGAAGAGCCCUCCCCUCUGCAAAUUGAUCCAGGGGGUCAGGCCUUCCUUCCAAGUUGUAAGGAGGGCUCCCCAGAAGAAAAUCAGUUGCUCCCCAAGUGGCAAGGUCCUUACCAGGUGAUUUUUAGUCACUCCAGUGGCAGUUAAGCUGCAAGGAAUCCCUAGCUGGGGACAUCUUUCCAGGCUAAAAUCUUUUUCUCCUGGACCUCCUCAGAAACGCCUGGAAGGCCUGGAACCAUCUUCCUCACGUGAGCCUGUGGGAGACCUCAGAUACUUGGUUCCAGAAGCGAGCCUCAGAGUCAGAUAAGUGAUUCUAUCUUGGUGGAUUGGUUUGCUGACGUUUCUUUUUGUUGCCUCUGUUUUCCUUUUUCUUCUCUGUGGGUACAUUUCGGGGCACUCCACUCUGGCAAACACCUGUUCUGCCCCUGCUGGGUCUAGAAGACCAGAACCAAUGAUGGGUUGCAUAAUGUGGGCCCUUCUCUUGGCCCUUCUCCUGGGGAUGAGUUGGGAAGGAAAUGACAAAGGGAGGGAAACCUGGGGAGAAAAUUCAAUUGUCAAUUUCUCCAGCAUCGUGGCCUCGGGAAAUAAUCUCUCUAACUGUUGGAUCUGCCAUCCCGGCCCACGGGAUGGGGUUCCUAAGCUCCAGUUCGAGCCUACAAACGAGGAUGUGCCUCUCACUUUGACUUCCGGACCCAUUAGGAGCACACCACUCCUGGUGGCGGAACUCAAGGACCGCGAGGAUAUGACGUGUGUGACCCUUACAGACACUUGGAACCAAACUGGGCUCCAGGUUAAGCGCCCUCUUCUCUGUAAAGAACAGGGGCGGCCCUGUUGCCCCUGCGAGACCAACACCUGCCUUACCAGUGCGGGCAGCUCGCCCUCCAUUUAUCCCAUGUCCUUUUCCAUUGCAAGCUCUUCGUGUGUCCCCAACCAGACUCACUGGUGUGUGGACUCCUCUCUGCUUCCCCCGGGCGACCAACCUAACUUCUCCUGUACUCACUGGAAAGGAACAGCAACCCCUUCCUGGAGGCUCACCUAUCAGACCCCAUCUGCCUUCGAUAGCCACGAGGGAAUAGAGGAGGACGCAGAGCUAGGUGGGGGGCCGAUGGACGGAGGGCCCCUGUCCCCCAGGUGCAAGAGCACACCUAAGUGGGGUCCCCUUUUACGAAGUUGGUUUAAUUCCUCUUCAGCCCGCCGGGCCUGUGCCCCCCCUGGAUAUCUGUUCCUCUGUGGGCCGCCACAGAAUAAACUGCCCUAUGAAGGGAGCCCCGAUUCCUCCUUCUCCUGGCCUCUUCGGGCAGUGGCCUACGCGUGUUUAGAUAAUGUCCACUUCCGGGGACAAUGCACUGUGGGACGACUGGGCGCAGAAGGAUUAGGCGCCACUAUAUAUAACGUCACCUCCCAAGGCAGACGUAAGAGAGCCCUCGGGCUUAUCUUGGCGGCAGCUGGAGAAGCCACGGGACCGGCUGCCCCCCGGGAGGGCAUUGCCUAUCAUGAGACGACCUUAAAAAGCCUUACCCAGGUCAUCGAAAACCUGGCCUCAAGCGCUGGCGACACCUCAGAGGGCCUCCAGGAGUCCCUAGAUUCCCUUGACAGUAGGUUAGCUGUAGAUUAUCUUCUGGCCACACAAGGGGGUGUCUGUGCGGUAGUCAACGACACGUGCUGUACGUACAUCAACGCCUCUGGGGAGGUCGAACUAAAUACCCAGGAGAUUUACAGACAAGCCAGAUGGUUGCAUGGGUUCAAGAGCCCCAGUGCCCAAACUAUAUAGGACUCAGAGGUUAUACGCCUAACAUCGCCUGAUUCCGUUCUUUCCUGGGCCCUCUUGUGGCAAAAAAUUCUUCUGUUACUAUUCAGACCCUACCUCCUUAAUCUUUUGGUUAAGUUUGAGUCUUCUAGAGGACGGCAGUUUCUUGUCAAACAGAUAGUGGCACAAGGGCCCCACCUAUCCAGCCCCAAGAGGAACAAGGUCCUUACAGGUCGUUAGAGCAGUCAGCGGGAGAGUUUUACUCCUCCUGGUAGGACAGGGACGACGCCCCGCUCAGCAAGAAGCAGUUUCAGAAGAUGAGACCUUCGGCCCCUCCUCCUUAGGACUAAGGAGGGUAAAAUCUCUCCUGUGGAGGUGGGGAGGGGUGAGGUAGACCAGGGGCUGUGUCUGGGACCCCCCCCCCCCCCCCCGCCCUAACCACAAUGCCCAUUGCUCUGUGCUUUUGUCACCUUAGGAGAAAAGGCUGAGAGCUACAUGCUUUUGAGCAUUAUAUCUCAUAGGGAUGCGGGGGCAGGAUGUUUUCCAGAAAGAACUCAAAUGAAGAAACCAAACUAAACCAAGCCUGUGCCAAGAUGGACCCCAGCACGGACCCUCACCUACUUUUUUCGUCGUUAGAAUACCAAUAAUCCCGGCCGUGGGUGGAUACUUAACAUGCUAAUAAGACACGUGCUGCGGAAGCAUGUUCUGUCCACUGCGCCUGCGCCCCAACCUCCUUUGUCUCCACCUCCACCUGCUGAGAUGUCCCUCCUUCGCCGCUUCAGCCGCCUUGCAGGCUUUGCCGGCCUUUGUUCCGGGAGCCGGCUGGGGACGUUUGUUCCACCGCCGUCUCUCUGGUCUGGAGCAUAGACCCCCAAUAAACGCCGCCCGAACCUUUUCUUGGCGUCGUGUCAGUUUCUGUUUUUGCGGAGAGCUGGAGAACCCUGGGGUCCAGAACAGUCCCGCCGGGUUCCUCUUUCUUGGCUUUCUCAAGUCCCGGUCCCUGGUGAUGUGGAUGUCUUUUUACUUGUUUACUUGUUAGGGAGGGUAUUUUUCAUAUGGGAGAUUUGCUACCUGCUUUCAGCGGGACGGAGGAGGGUGUGAGUGUCCUUGCACUAUUUCCUAGGUAACUUAUUUAAUUAAGAUCAUCAAUAUUGCCAGAGUGAUACCUGCCCUUUCUCUCUAUAUCAUUGUAGGGGAGGCAAAACUUUACCUCUUCCCAUCUUAGGUUUUUGCCUAGGACUCUUAACGAAAACACUAACAAGAGAAAAACAGUUCACACACACAGUGCACAUCACAAGGGAAACCUAAAUGAAAACAAACUCACGAUGGUAACUUAGAAUUCCAACUUAUUUUCCAUCUUCAAUAAAGGAGAGCACAUUUGCAGAGGUGAUAGGACAAAGGAAAACAAUUUUAGGCCCCAAGGCCAACAAGCUGGGAA
This 9561-nucleotide long non-coding RNA is filed under the name Lynx pardinus (Iberian lynx). Lineage: Eukaryota; Metazoa; Chordata; Mammalia; Carnivora; Felidae. The record is from RNAcentral.